RNAcentral lists this ribosomal RNA (405 nucleotides) under uncultured bacterium. Its description in RNAcentral is "partial 16S ribosomal RNA". It matches the Rfam family "Bacterial small subunit ribosomal RNA", at positions 28 to 526 of the family's 1533-position model. The record is from RNAcentral.
GACGAACGCUGGCGGCGUGCUUAACACAUGCAAGUCGAGAGGAGCGGCGAACGGGUGAGUAACGCGUGAGUAACCGCCCCCCUCUCUGGGAUAACAGUUGGAAACGGCUGCAACUACCGGAUAGUGGGGGAUGACGCGCGUCCUAUUAGCUGUUUGGUGGUGUAGUGGCCUACCGAGGCGACGACGGGUUGCCGCCCUGAGCGGGCGACCGGCCACAUUGGGCUGAGAUCCGGCCCAAGCUGCUACGGGGGGCAGCGGGGGGGAAUAUUGCACAGUGGGUGAGACCCUGAUGCAGCACCGCCGCGUGGGGAAUGACGGCCUUGGGGUUGUAAAGCUCUCCUUGCAAGGGUCGGGUAGGUGGUGAAGAAGCGCCGGCUAACGACGUGCCAGCAGGCGCGGUAAUUC